Paramuricea clavata is the source of this 851-nucleotide non-coding RNA. The record is from the annotation of a GenBank genome assembly. Lineage: Eukaryota; Metazoa; Cnidaria; Anthozoa; Malacalcyonacea; Plexauridae.
CAUACUUGAGAAGUAAGGGCGUAUUUCAUUACACAGACACUGCUGAAUUUUAGGUUACAUGCCAUUGGAUUGAUAUAUAAAAAACACUUGUAAAACACACACAUUAUCUUGUUGAUAGAAUAGUUAUUUGCAGUAUACUAACUGUUGGCAUACUCUAUUUCAGGACUAUCAAUUGUUUUUGUCACUGGCAGUCUUUGAAAUACAAUCUUGCUCUGUGGCCUUUACUGACAAGUUGACUUUUACUACAUAUGUGGCACUGACACUUCUUUAAUUAACGCACCAGUCAAUGUAAACCCCCCAACCAGGGAGGGGCAGGGAUUUUGACUUGGAGGGGUAGUAAAAAAGCGAAAUUGUCCCCGCCCCCAGGGACGUCAAUGUUCCCUGCAUGUCUCUUAACCCCCAGGAAAAUAGUUUUGUAUAAUCAUAGAUCAGCAAUAGAAAAUCAAAUUCAUUUAUGUUGUUGUAUUUAAACUUUUCUUGUCAAGAAAACUAAAACAGCAACACAGGAUAUAUAUGUUAACCACUGUCGAAGUCUCCCAUCAUCGGGGACAAAUUUAUAAUCAAAACUGACCACUUUCCCUGUUAAACCUUCCGCCCCUCCCCGGUUGGGGGCAAGGAUUUACAUUGACUGGUGCAUAACUAGAUGAUUGCAUGAAGUUGAUUUAUAAUUAGUAUGAAUAAACUCACACUUUCAUUAUAAUGGUUGAUCAAAUAUAUCAUAUGCAUUUGAUUGGUUGAUGGUCCCUUAAUGGUAAUGGUAGUCAAAUCUGAACCUAUAUAAUGUCAAUAUACUGGAAAAGUAUCAAAUUAAAUUUUAAUUGUCAAUGUUGUGGAAAGUAAAUAAAUCAAAC